This is a non-coding RNA of Coturnix japonica (Japanese quail), 1319 nucleotides long. The record is from the annotation of a RefSeq genome assembly. NCBI's taxonomy places the organism in Eukaryota, Metazoa, Chordata, Aves, Galliformes, Phasianidae.
CUGGGGGCUUGCAAGCAGGCACCCUGAGAAGAAUGCUGCUGCUGCCAGUUCUGACCCUGGCUGAAGCCUGCUUGCAUCCAUUCCCCUCCCUGUGGUGGAUCCACUGGGAACAGCAGCGGCAUGGGGAUGUUCCGCAUACAGCUGUGGCCAGCAGGCUGGCAGUGCUUGCUGCGUUUUCUCUCCUUCUGAUAGAUGGACAUGCACAAGUGCUGCUGCAACAGCGUCCACCAUCUGUUAUCAAAAAGGAAUCCACAACUGUGAGUAUUCAGUGCAAAGUCGAGGGCAUAGAUGACUUCCAGGCUGCCUACAUCCACUGGUACCGACAACUGCCUGCCGGAGCUCCUGAAAGGCUUCUCUAUGUGACAGGAGUAUCACAAGUUUACUACGAUUCAGACUCCAAUAAGAACAAAUAUUUGUCUUCCAAAGUGGGGAAUAAAAUUUGCACUAUCUCAGUUCUUAAUGUACGUGAUGAUGAUGAAGGUACCUACUACUGUGCCUACUGGGUGUCUCACAGAGGGAACAGACUGCAGGCAGCCCUUACAGAAAGCCGGCUGCAGCUUCAGCAGCACACUUUCAUUCAAGGGCCAAAAAUCACAGCCGCCUUCCUUCCCACAUCUCUCAGCCUUCACAUCAUCCCCACAUGCUGAAAUGGGGAAGGAAAUCCAAGAGGAAAGCCAAGAUACUUAUAUGGCCAUCACGUUGACAACACACUGUACUGUGGGCUGAUGAAAGUUGCUUCUUGGGCAUAUCCAGGGGUCUGAGCAAAGUGACCGGAGGAAGGGCACAACUGAACAACCCUGGUUUCAGUUUCCAUGCUUAACAAGAUUUGUGGGUAAGAUUUAAUGUGAUAUAGCAGAUAGAUAGAUAGAUAGAUAGAUAGAUAGAUAGAUAGAUAGAUAGAUAGAUAGACAGACUGAUAGAUAGAUGAAUGCAGAAAAAGACGUUAUUAGAAUGUCUAUUUUAGGUCCCCUCUGUAGUGUUACUGAUUGCAUUUUGUUUGACAGAGAAUUUACCGCACACAAAUAUGCGCUUCAUUGUAGUGAGCUGAAGACCUUCCGUUGGAUGAGCCAUGAGUCAUUUCCUCCUCUCAGCCACUGAGGAUUUCUCCAUCUUUAUGGCUUUGUAACACUCAUACCACGACUUCAGUUCGACAGUUUGCUCAUGCAGACAACAUGCUGCUGCUUCCUUUACUCAUUGUGACUUCAUUUUGGUCCUGUAAGUGCUGUUUCCUUUCUCCUCUCCAUCCUGUGCAUGGAGAACACAGACCCUGCUGCAUAGCUCGGUGCUUCCUUGCCUACAUGUGGUUUCUCCCUGCUCCC